This 253-nucleotide ribosomal RNA is filed under the name uncultured bacterium. Its description in RNAcentral is "partial 16S ribosomal RNA". It matches the Rfam family "Bacterial small subunit ribosomal RNA", at positions 524 to 776 of the family's 1533-position model. The record is from RNAcentral.
UACGGAGGGUGCAAACGUUGCUCGGAAUCACUGGGCGUAAAGCGCACGUAGGCGGCUCGAAAAGUCGGAUGUGAAAGCCCUGGGCUCAACCCAGGAAGUGCAUUCGAAACUGCCGAGCUUGAGUACGGGAGAGGGUUGCGGAAUUCCCGGUGUAGAGGUGAAAUUCGUAGAUAUCGGGAGGAACACCAGUGGCGAAGGCGGCAGCCUGGACCGAUACUGACGCUGAGGUGCGAAAGCGUGGGGAGCAAACAGG